This 503-nucleotide ribosomal RNA is filed under the name uncultured bacterium. RNAcentral's name for it is "partial 16S ribosomal RNA". It matches the Rfam family "Bacterial small subunit ribosomal RNA", at positions 28 to 505 of the family's 1533-position model. The record is from RNAcentral.
GACGAACGCUGGCGGCGUGCUUAACACAUGCAAGUCGAACGGUGAAGCGCUUGCCUUUUUGGUGGGUGUGGAUGAGUGGCGAACGGGUGAGUAACACGUGAGUAACCUGCCCUCUUCUUCUGGAUAACCUCAUGAAAGUGGGGCUAAUACGGGGUAUUCCGGGUCUGUCGCAUGGCGGGUUUGGGAAAGAUUGCGCCUUUGGGUGUUCUCGGUGGGGGAUGGGCUCGCGGCCUAUCAGCUUGUUGGUGGGGUGAUGGCCUACCAAGGCGGUGACGGGUAGCCGGCCUGAGAGGGUGGACGGCCACACUGGGACUGAGACACGGCCCAGACUGCUGCGGGAGGCAGCAGUGGGGAAUAUUGCAGAAUGGGCGCAAGCCUGAUGCAGCGACGCCGCGUAAGGGAUGGAGGCCUUCGGGUUGUGAACCUCUUUCGCCAGUGAAGCAGGCCUGCCUCGUUUGUGGGUGGGUUGACGGUAGCUGGAUAAGAAGCGCCGGCUAACUACG